CCUACGGGAGGCAGCAGUGAGGAAUAUUGGUCAAUGGCCGGAAGGCUAAACCAGCCAAGCCGCGUGAAGGACGAAGGUGCCAAGCAUUGUAAACUUCUUUUGUCAAGGGACAAAAUCAGGCUCGAGAGCCUGACCGAGGGUACUUGAAGAAAAAGCAUCGGCUAACUCCGUGCCAGCAGCCGCGGUAAUACGGAGGAUGCGAGCGUUAUCCGGAUUUAUUGGGUUGAAAGGGUGCGUAGGCGGACUGUUAAGUCAGCGGUAAAAGCCCGGGGCUCAACCCCGGCGAGCCGUUGAAACUGGCUGUCUUGAGAUGUCGAGAGGUAUGCGGAAUGCGCAGUGUAGCGGUGAAAUGCUUAGAUAUUGCGCAGAACUCCGAUUGCGAAGGCAGCAUACCGGCGGCGAUCUGACGCUGAGGCACGAAAGCGUGGGUAUCGAACAGGAUUAGAUACCCCUGUAGUC
This 459-nucleotide ribosomal RNA is filed under the name uncultured bacterium. RNAcentral describes it as "partial 16S ribosomal RNA". It matches the Rfam family "Bacterial small subunit ribosomal RNA", at positions 338 to 795 of the family's 1533-position model. The record is from RNAcentral.